GUGUGCCCUUGCUCUGCAGAAGGUUUAGGGGGCAGGGUGGAGACCUGAUUAGAAAAUGAAAUGCUGAGCACCUGUGAGAACUCAGCACGUGGAACAAAGCUUCAGCCCGGGCUGCAGCUGGGGUCUGCAGCACCCACGCCCACAGGGAGUGGGAGAAUCUCUCUGAGCAAGGGGACAGCGUUUAGCUGCAGGGUGCAACACCAGGAGCCAGGAGAGUUCCUCCCCCGACCAGCCGGUCUGCAGUUGGGAUAAAUUCAGCACAGGAGGAAAAGGCAGCACAUCCUCCCCCCAUCUCCUCCCAUUUUAGGUGAGAGGAGGAGGUGGCAUGGGGGAUAGAGAAAGAUCUGGCGAGCUCACCAGCUGGUGCUGCAGGGCUGAGCGGCGCGAGUGUGCUGUGCGCCCCCACACAGAGGGGCCCAGGCAGGAAGGAGAAGUGCCCCCUCUCUUUUAUCCCCUCUCCUUGGAAAUCAAGACAGUCUCAGGAUGGAGGGAGGCUGUGUUCCCUCCCUGUUGUUUGACCUGAGACCAAACUAUGGUGGAGGUAAUGAAGUUAAUGGCAGCCUCCUUCAAAAGGUCCCAUGCAUGCAUUGCUACACUCAGCGUCCCCAGCCCUGCAGCAGGCCACCGCCAACCCACGCCUCUGCCAGAGACUCCUGGACACUCACGGGCAAGUCUGGG
This is a long non-coding RNA of Bos taurus (domestic cattle), 678 nucleotides long. Lineage: Eukaryota; Metazoa; Chordata; Mammalia; Artiodactyla; Bovidae. The record is from Ensembl.